This 468-nucleotide ribosomal RNA is filed under the name uncultured bacterium. RNAcentral's name for it is "partial 16S ribosomal RNA". It matches the Rfam family "Bacterial small subunit ribosomal RNA", at positions 28 to 507 of the family's 1533-position model. The record is from RNAcentral.
GAUGAACGCUGGCGGCGUGCUUAACACAUGCAAGUCGAACGGUGAAGGCGGAGCUUGCUCUGCUGGAUCAGUGGCGAACGGGUGAGUAACACGUGAGCAAUCUGCCCCUGACUCUGGGAUAAGCGCUGGAAACGGCGUCUAAUACUGGAUACGAGCUGCGAAGGCAUCUUCAGCAGCUGGAAAGAAUUUCGGUCAGGGAUGAGCUCGCGGCCUAUCAGCUUGUUGGUGAGGUAAUGGCUCACCAAGGCGUCGACGGGUAGCCGGCCUGAGAGGGUGACCGGCCACACUGGGACUGAGACACGGCCCAGACUCCCACGGGAGGCAGCAGUGGGGAAUAUUGCACAAUGGGCGAAAGCCUGAUGCAGCAACGCCGCGUGAGGGACGACGGCCUUCGGGUUGUAAACCUCUUUUAGCAGGGAAGAAGCGAAAGUGACGGUACCUGCAGAAAAAGCGCCGGCUAACUACGUG